This 301-nucleotide ribosomal RNA is filed under the name uncultured bacterium. RNAcentral's name for it is "bacterial SSU rRNA". It matches the Rfam family "Bacterial small subunit ribosomal RNA", at positions 28 to 334 of the family's 1533-position model. The record is from RNAcentral.
GAUUAACGCUGGCGGCAUGCCUAAUGCAUGCAAAUCGAACGAAGCCUUUUGGCUUAGUGGUGAACGGGUGAGUAACACGUACCUAAUCUACCCUUAAGUUUGGGAUAACUAGUCGAAAGAUUAGCUAAUACCGGAUAAUAACAUUCACUUGCAUGAGUGAAUGUGGAAAGUUGCGUUUGCAACGCUUUUGGAUGAGGGUGCGGCGUAUCAGAUAGUUGGUGAGGUAACGGCUCACCAAGUCAUUGACGCGUAGCUGUACUGAGAGGUAGAACAGCCACAAUGGGACUGAGACACGGCCCAC